CUCAGAGGGGUUUUCCUGAAUAGAGCCUAAUUUCUCUUUGCUUCAUGGGACUGAGGCAAAGGUUUGUGAAGGUCUGAGACUUGGGGACUAAUUCUGCAUCCCUUGAUGUGUGUAAUCAGCUGGUGGGUAAAUUGUCUGGGUGAAUAAGUGGGACUGAGGGGCAUGGUGGCAUCUCUCUUGAUUUUGUGUAAAACUUGUCCAGUUCUUGGUGUGUCUUAGUUGUGUUUCGAGGUCACCUUAAUGAAAUCUUUUCUGUGAGGCCAAGAGAGGGACUCUUCUUCAAAUUUUGUUUUGCUAGAAACUAGCUAGAAACUAGUAAAAGAAGCUGCUAUUUAACAGGGAUGUUUUGAGGCUGCUGCCCUCUCCCAGCAGAAUGCCCAUGUUUGGGGAUAUUUUAUGCCUGAGUCUAUCAGCUGAUAAAAGUUCCCCCAAAGUAAGAUAUAAAAAAUUCAGGUUGAACACAAGUUCAGGAGGAGUUAUGAGACAUGCUGAGCCUACGUCAGAAAAUUCCUGUGCUCAUUUCUCCCCCUGGGCCUGGCCCUGUUGGCCCUGCCAGGCAGGAGCCCUCCCUGCCCUGAACAGGUUUUCUGUGCCCAGAACCAGCACAACAGACAGCUGGGCACCGAGACUCCAGCAAGAAAAAAAGAUGUGAGGCAGAUCACUGAUAAAACAAUCCCAGCGUGUCUGCCGUAGAUUCUCUUGGAAAGAGGUGUCCUGCCCUUGGGUGUGAACCAGAAGUGAGUUUCCAGGUGGAAUCCAGCAGUGAGUUUCUAGUGGGUUUUGGAAUCUCCUGCCCGCAGAUUGCACGGGAGGUGCAAAGGAAUUCUGUGGUGAACAAGGCAGCUCUGUGCAGUUUUGUGAGCCACAUUUGUCAGUUCCGUAAAGAAAGUGCACAUGAAAAUGUGUAAAGCAAGGGUGGUGUUUUCUCCCUGUGCUUUCUGUGUUGGCUCUAAGAGAAAUACAGAACACCAGCAGAAGCAUGGAACUGUAACCUCGGGAAUCAUUUGGGAAUGAUACUGAAGAAAUCCUUCUCUAAGCAUCUUCUGAAAAGCAGUGAAAUCCCAGAGUCAUCAGUAAUGCCACAUGUUACAGAACUUGUGGAAUUUGACGUUUUUUAAGGAGGCUUCCGUUUGGUUUUUCACAUGACUGAAAUGACACAGUGGCACCCGUGCCAUUGACUCUACCAGAGGUCUCAUGCCACGGAAUCACAGAGAUGUUUUCAAAAACCUUAUUUCAAAUUCUCAGCCCUUAUCACUGCCCCCAGCUGCUCAAAAUGCAAAUCUGUUUCCUUCUGAAGGUAGAGCACAUCCCCGUGAAGCCAAGUAGGCACCUCCAGGGACUUGUUUCCAUAACAACCUCCCGGACUGUUUCUCUCUGUGCUGUGACUGUGGCUACAAGCCAAAGCACUCGAUGGAUAUUUUGUGUUCAGAUAUCAGCACCUUAUCUUUACAGAUGUUUCUUUGCCUAUCGGAGCUGAUCCCAUCACCUUGUAUCGUGUACAACUGCCCUGUCCAACUUCAGGUGGGCAGUCUCCAGCCUUUGAAAGAAGGGAGUGCAAACCUGGAGAUGGGAAGAGAUUUUAUUUGUGUGUCCUUGCAGACACAGAGCUGGAGAGUGUGUGAAGGACAAUCUGAGCACUCAGCCAGGAAACCAAGGGGCAACCAGCCUGUGAAUGUAGAGUCAUCUGGGUGCCUGGUGACAAGGAAUACAAGAAUACAAGCUAAAGCAUUACAUUAAAGACCCAGAAAUUCCUCUUGCAGCAAUCUCACUAGAAAAUAGUUUCGCAGUGGAAGAGACUAUUGCUCCUUCCAGAUCCUGUGGCUGGUUUGUGAUUGUUGGUUCUCCUGAUAAUUUUCCCAUGGCAUUUGCACCAAAGCAGGACAGGGCAAAAAUCAUCUCCUUGGAGGUGGGGAAGGAAGGAAAGAAAGAAUUUUACUGAGGACACCAUUUUUUUUAUCUGCACAAAUGACUGGAAGCAUGAAAAGCGUGAAGACCCGUUCUGUGAUGUUUUGCUGGUGGAUUCCUGCUCUUACCUCCAAGAUUAAAUUCCUGUUCCGUUCCUUCUAGGAAAAUGUUGGAAUUCUGGAUUUUUGAGUAAUUUUUGAUUUGGGCCUUUUGAUCCAGCUUUCGUGGAUAAAAAUUUACUGCUACAGCAGCUGUGUGGGUGAAGGUGACUGCACUUGCUCUUCUCCCCUGGGUCCUCUCACUCAAAGGUUCCCUAUGAGAUAAAGAAGAACGAGUGUAAAGAAGAUUCAGAGCAGCAAGAAACAGGGUAAGAACUGAAGUGUCUUCCAUAUGGUGAUGGAAAGAUCAGCAUCAACCCUAAAAGCAAAGGAACAAACAGCUCCAGCAUCUGCUGCUAUAGCAGAAAUAGGUCCUGCUUACAUCAGGGAAAGAUCUGCAGAUUGCAGCAGGAGUCAACCACAGCUUUCCCAAAAGCUCUCAUCUGACUCAAGUCCAACUUGAUGGCAUCCAUUUUCAGAAAGCAGAUGCUGCCCUCUUUUACACUGGUGCAAUUCAGGAAUAACUCCACUGACGUCAGUGAAGUGACUCCAAAUUUAUCCCC
Long non-coding RNA from Poecile atricapillus (Black-capped chickadee), 2566 nucleotides. RefSeq lists it as uncharacterized. NCBI's taxonomy places the organism in Eukaryota, Metazoa, Chordata, Aves, Passeriformes, Paridae. The transcript has 3 exons. The record is from RefSeq and is a predicted model, not a curated record.